GGUACCGUGGUGUAAUGGUUAGCACUCUGGACUCUGAAUCCAGCGAUCCGUGUUCAAAUAUCGGUGGGAUAUCA
RNAcentral lists this transfer RNA (74 nucleotides) under Dryococelus australis. RNAcentral's name for it is "tRNA-OTHER". It matches the Rfam family "tRNA", at positions 1 to 60 of the family's 71-position model. From Rfam's summary of the family: Transfer RNA (tRNA) molecules are approximately 80 nucleotides in length. Their secondary structure includes four short double-helical elements and three loops (D, anti-codon, and T loops). The record is from RNAcentral. Lineage: Eukaryota; Metazoa; Arthropoda; Insecta; Phasmatodea; Phasmatidae.